RNAcentral lists this ribosomal RNA (492 nucleotides) under uncultured bacterium. Its description in RNAcentral is "partial 16S ribosomal RNA". It matches the Rfam family "Bacterial small subunit ribosomal RNA", at positions 30 to 507 of the family's 1533-position model. The record is from RNAcentral.
AGUGAACGCUGGCGGUAGGCCUAACACAUGCAAGUCGAACGGCAGCACAGUAAGAGCUUGCUCUUACGGGUGGCGAGUGGCGGACGGGUGAGGAAUACAUCGGAAUCUACUUUUUCGUGGGGGAUAACGUAGGGAAACUUACGCUAAUACCGCAUACGACCUACGGGUGAAAGCAGGGGAUCUUCGGACCUUGCGCGAUUGAAUGAGCCGAUGUCGGAUUAGCUAGUUGGCGGGGUAAAGGCCCACCAAGGCGACGAUCCGUAGCUGGUCUGAGAGGAUGAGGAGGCAGCAGUGAAGAGAGACAAGGUCUAGACUCAGACGGGAUGCAGCGGUGGGGAAUAGGGGAAAAGGGCCGCAGGUGUGAUCCAGCCAUAGGGCGUGAAGGAAGAAGGCCUUGGGGAUGUAAAGCCAUUUUGUUGGGAACGAAAGGCAGCGGGUUAAUACCCCGCUUGUCAGAAGGUACCCAAAGAAAAAGAACAGGCCAACUUAGGG